Echinops telfairi (small Madagascar hedgehog) is the source of this 107-nucleotide small nuclear RNA. NCBI's taxonomy places the organism in Eukaryota, Metazoa, Chordata, Mammalia, Afrosoricida, Tenrecidae. The record is from RefSeq and is a predicted model, not a curated record.
GUGCUUGCUUCAGCAGCACAUACACUAAAAUUGGAACCAUACAGAGAAGAUUAGCAUGGCCCCUGCACAAGGAUGGCAUGCAAACUCGUGAAGCAUUACAGAUUUUG